GAUGAAGAACGUAGCGAAAUGCGAUAAGUAAUGCGAAUUGCAGAAUUUCCGUGAGUCAUCGAAUCUUUGAACGCACAUUGCGCCCACUGGUAUUCCGGUGGGCAUGCCUGUUCGAGCGUCAUUAUCCUCCCUCAAACCUCGGGUUUGGUGUUGGACCCAAGUUGUGUGAACAACUGGUCUUAAAGACAAUGACGGCGUCCGUGGGACCCUCGGUGCAACGAGCUUUUAGGAGCACGCGUCGAGUUUCAAGGACCUUCCGGGCCGGUCUCCUUUACCAUUUUACAAGGUUGACCUCGGAUCAGGUAGGAAUACCCGCUGAACUUAAGCAUACCAAUAAGCGGAGGA
Molecule: unclassified non-coding RNA, 345 nt
Filed under: soil metagenome
Description: partial contains 5.8S ribosomal RNA, internal transcribed spacer 2, and large subunit ribosomal RNA
Rfam family: 5.8S ribosomal RNA (bases 1-121)
Source: RNAcentral